GGGGGUGUAGCUCAAUUGGGAGAGCGCUUGAAUGGCAUUCAAGAGGUAGCGAGUUCGAUCCUCGCCAUCUCCACCA
Molecule: transfer RNA, 76 nt
Filed under: Clostridiaceae bacterium
Lineage: Bacteria; Bacillati; Bacillota; Clostridia; Eubacteriales; Clostridiaceae
Also listed under: 1 other name
Description: tRNA-Ala
Rfam family: tRNA
About the family: Transfer RNA (tRNA) molecules are approximately 80 nucleotides in length. Their secondary structure includes four short double-helical elements and three loops (D, anti-codon, and T loops). Further hydrogen bonds mediate the characteristic L-shaped molecular structure. tRNAs have two regions of fundamental functional importance: the anti-codon, which is responsible for specific mRNA codon recognition, and the 3' end, to which the tRNAs corresponding amino acid is attached (by aminoacyl-tRNA synthetases). tRNAs cope with the degeneracy of the genetic code in two manners: having more than one tRNA (with a specific anti-codon) for a particular amino acid; and 'wobble' base-pairing, i.e. permitting non-standard base-pairing at the 3rd anti-codon position.
Source: RNAcentral